Molecule: transfer RNA, 73 nt
Filed under: Stegodyphus mimosarum
Lineage: Eukaryota; Metazoa; Arthropoda; Arachnida; Araneae; Eresidae
Rfam family: tRNA
About the family: Transfer RNA (tRNA) molecules are approximately 80 nucleotides in length. Their secondary structure includes four short double-helical elements and three loops (D, anti-codon, and T loops).
Source: Rfam by way of RNAcentral
GCCUUCGUGGUACAGUGGUCAGCACGCUCGACGCGUAACCGAAAUGUCCGAGGUUCGAUUCCCGGCGAAGGCU